GAGACACCCUUAUGGUGCAGGACUUGCUUCAGUGGGGCUUUGUUGCUCGCCGAGUCUGCCCCCUGAGUGUGUCUCU
This 76-nucleotide microRNA precursor is filed under the name Myotis lucifugus (little brown bat). RNAcentral's name for it is "mir-9229 microRNA precursor family". It matches the Rfam family "mir-9229 microRNA precursor family". Lineage: Eukaryota; Metazoa; Chordata; Mammalia; Chiroptera; Vespertilionidae. The record is from Rfam by way of RNAcentral.